Molecule: long non-coding RNA, 214 nt
Filed under: Elaeis guineensis (African oil palm)
Lineage: Eukaryota; Viridiplantae; Streptophyta; Magnoliopsida; Arecales; Arecaceae
Description: long non-coding RNA (EGUI_LNC076961)
Source: RNAcentral
CUAGGAUCACUCAACUUUUGAACCACGAAUUUAUAUUUAUCCUGAAAAUUUUUGUUUAUCAGCAUAGAUCUGUUUGUGUUUAUUAUUCGCAGUUUGUGUUUAUUAUUUGCAGUUUCUAUUUAUCGACCCCAGAGCGGUCUGCUGUCCUUUCUUGCCCGCAAACUGCUAUUAUCUAUUGUUAUCUCCUCAUCAUGAAUAAAGGCACCUUCAUGAC